RNAcentral lists this ribosomal RNA (470 nucleotides) under uncultured bacterium. RNAcentral describes it as "bacterial SSU rRNA". It matches the Rfam family "Bacterial small subunit ribosomal RNA", at positions 917 to 1382 of the family's 1533-position model. The record is from RNAcentral.
GGGCUCACACAAGCGGUGGAGGAUGUGGCUUAAUUCGAGGCUACGCGAAGAACCUUAUCCUAGACUUGACAUGUUUAAGAACCUUCUGGAAACAGAGGGGUGCCCUUCGGGGAGCUUUUGCACAGGUGCUGCAUGGCUGUCGUCAGCUCGUGUCGUGAGAUGUCGGGUUAAGUCCCUUAACGAGCGAAACCCUUAUCUCUAGUUGCCAGCGGGUAAUGCCGGGGACUCUAGAGAGACUGCCGGUGUCAAACCGGAGGAAGGUGGGGAUGACGUCAAGUCCUCAUGGCCUUUAUGUCUAGGGCUGCACACGUCCUACAAUGGCACGUACAAAGGGAAGCAAGACCGUGAGGUGGAGCUAAUCCCAAAAAGCGUGCCCCAGUUCGGAUUGCAGGCUGCAACUCGCCUGCAUGAAGCCGGAAUCGCUAGUAAUCGCGGGUCAGCAUACCGCGGUGAAUGUGUUCCUGAGCCUU